AGUCGAACGGAAGUCGUUGUAAUGAUAUAGACAUGGACGGAGAACUUGUUCAAAGAAAGUGAAAGUUGACUUACAACAAUGGCUUUAGUGGCGGACUGGUGAGUAACACGUAAGCAACCUGCCUAUCAGAGGGGAACAACAGUUAGAAAUGACUGCUAAUACCGCAUAUGCCUUAGCAACACAUGUUGCAAAAAGGGAAAGGAGCAAUCCGCUGAUAGAUGGGCUUGCGUCUGAUUAGAUAGUUGGUGGGGUAACGGCCUACCAAGUCGACGAUCAGUAGCCGGACUGAGAGGUUGAACGGCCACAUUGGGACUGAGAUACGGCCCAGACUCCUACGGGAGGCAGCAGUCGGGAAUAUUGCGCAAUGGAGGAAACUCUGACGCAGUGACGCCGCGUGCAGGAAGAAGGUUUUCGGAUUGUAAACUGCUUUAGACAGGGAAGAACAAAGACAGUACCUGUAGAAUAAGCUCCGGCUAACUACGUGCCAGCAGCCGCGGUAAUACGUAGGGAGCAAGCGUUAUCCGGAUUUAUUGGGUGUAAA
RNAcentral lists this ribosomal RNA (541 nucleotides) under uncultured bacterium. RNAcentral's name for it is "bacterial SSU rRNA". It matches the Rfam family "Bacterial small subunit ribosomal RNA", at positions 60 to 564 of the family's 1533-position model. The record is from RNAcentral.